This 6159-nucleotide long non-coding RNA is filed under the name Arabidopsis lyrata. RNAcentral describes it as "long non-coding RNA (ALYR_LNC002272)". Lineage: Eukaryota; Viridiplantae; Streptophyta; Magnoliopsida; Brassicales; Brassicaceae. The record is from RNAcentral.
CUCGCUUGCUCCUGGCUUUCGAUUUCAUCCGACUGAUGAGGAACUCGUGAGCUAUUACUUGAAGAGGAAGGUUCUGGGCAAACCUGUACGCUUCGAUGCGAUUGGAGAGGUCGAUAUCUACAAGCAUGAGCCCUGGGAUUUAGCAGGUUCUUUGGGUUUCUUCCUCUUCGUUUUUGCGUAUCUCUGUGAUUUGGGUUUUUCCGUGAGACUUGUAAAUUUGUUGCUUCUGAUCUGUGAUUAUUGUCGCCUGGGCUUAUUUGUUGUUCCGUCUUCUGGGAAAAGGGUUUAGCUUUUAUGUGCUCCGAUUCUUUUUCUGGGAAAUUUUUUGUUGCAGAGAAGAUUCUCUGUUCGUACCUUUUGCUAUGUUUAGGCAAUUAGGCUAUAGCACUGCGAAGACAUUCCAUCCAAUUGACUUCUUUAAUUGGGGAAAGUCGAUUUUUCAGAUUCCUUAAGAAUUUUGUGUUUGCUUGUGGCUCAGUUAUGUUUGCUUGUGGUUCAGGAAAUGAAGUUUGUUGGUUAUCUGAAGUGUUGUUAAGUCUGGUUUGUAAAUUUUCAUCUGUUGUGUUGUGUGUUUCAGUGUUUUCCAAGUUGAAAACUCGGGACCAAGAAUGGUACUUCUUUAGCGCGUUAGAUAAGAAGUACGGUAAUGGUGCUAGGAUGAAUCGAGCAACUAACAAAGGGUACUGGAAAGCAACUGGAAAAGACAGAGAAAUCCGCCGGGAUAUUCAGUUGCUCGGUAUGAAAAAGACGCUUGUUUUCCACAGCGGGCGUGCUCCAGACGGGCUUCGGACUAAUUGGGUGAUGCACGAGUAUCGACUUGUGGAAUAUGAAACUGAAACUAACGGAAGCCUGCUGGUAUUAUCUUGUCCAAAAGAGUUACUUUCGAAUUGGGUUUAUCUCAUAUUGUUAAAAGAAUCCUAUCUUAUCUCGAUUCUUUGUCUGGUGCAGCAGGAUGCAUAUGUGUUGUGCAGAGUGUUUCACAAGAAUAACAUUGGGCCACCGAGUGGGAACAGAUAUGCGCCAUUCAUGGAAGAAGAAUGGGCUGAUGGUGGAGGAGCUCUGAUUCCAGGAAUAGACGUUAGGGUCAGGGUAGAGGCUCUACCACAAGCCAAUGGAAACAACCAGAUGGACCAGGUUUGUGCUUUCUUUACACUCAAUGUUUCUUAUAUGCAAAAACUCUUUGAUGAAUCAUCCCUCUUGAUUCACAAGAUAUCAUAUUUCGUAUAUGCAAAAGCUCUUUGUUUCUCUAAGUGCUGUUUCAGUGGGCUGAGUUACUUAAACUGCACAAUUCCAUUAAGUUUGCUAUCAACUCUUGUAGAAUUCAGCUCAACCUUACAGCUUUAUCUAAUGAAUGGUCUCUCUUGAUUCACAAGAUAUCUAAAUUUUUCUUUAUGGUCUUUUUUCUUUGGGAUUUAUCCUCGUGAUUACAAGAUAUUUCAGACUUACAAUCUUCGUUUUGCAUUAAAGGAUAAUCAACUAGAGAAAGACUUAUUGUGUUUUGGUUAAUCUGCAAAGUCGAUCAACGCAUUUUGGGUUUUAGAUAUUUUAUGCCUAAUGGGGUUCACAUUAACUUGUAAUUUGUUGUAGGAAAUCCAUUCAACAAGCAAGGAUCUCAUUAACAUCAACGAGCUACCGAGAGAUGCUACUCCAAUGGACAUCGAACCUAACCAACAGAAUCAUCAUGAGAGCGCCUUCAAGCCACAGGAGAAUAACAACCAUAGCGGUUAUGAAGAAGAUGAGGAAACACUCAAACGCGAGCACGCAGAAGAAGAUGAGCGUCCUCCUCCACUCUCCAUUCUCAACAAAGAAGCUCCACUACCUCUCCUCCAAUACAAACGUAGACGCCAAAACGAAUCCAACAACAACUCAAGCAGGAGCACACAGGACCAUUGUUCGUCGUCCACAAUAACAACCGUCGACAAUACAACCACCUUAAUCUCAUCAUCAUCUGCUGCUGCUGCCACCAACACUGCCAUCUCUGCAUUGCUUGAGUUCUCACUUAUGGGCAUCUCCGAAAAGAAAGAAAACCAGCAGCAACCGCUUAGUCCUCACAAGGAAGCUUCUCCUCCUAGUCCAAUUGCAUCUCCUGAAGAGAAGGUUGAUGAUCUCCAGAAAGAGAUUCACCAGAUGUCUGUUGAAAGAGAAACUUUCAAGCUUGAGAUGAUGAGUGCAGAGGCUAUGAUCAGCAUUCUCCAGUCAAGGAUCGAUGCACUGCGUCAGGAGAACGAGGAACUUAAGAAGAAGAACGCCAGUGGACAAGCUAGUUAAACCACACUACCAUCUCUCCAGGUUUCUUCUUCUUCUUCUUUGCCUUUUAGCUGUAAUCUUCCUAAUAGUAUGAGCUAUGGAUGUAGCUUGUUCAGACAGAUCAGAAACCAUAUGAAUCUCUGUUGUAAAAUUAGGAUAAAACGGAACGGAGUCACCCAGCAGGGUCUUUAUUGAUCCUUUUUUUAUUUCAUGUUUCUGCAUCUUUUGGGAACAAUUUCAGGCUGAUCCAUUGUCAUAUACUAUUAUCAUCUAUCUAUCUUGUCUUUUUCAGACAAGAACUCUCUUUUAUUUGGUCUCAAGAAAGCUUUUUUUUUUUCUCUUGGGGUAAAACCGUAAUCAUUAGUGGUCCGGUUCGAGGGCAUAAUCUUCAUGAAAUUACCUUCUGGUCUUCCGUACAAAGAACUACUCUGUUGCUUAAUAAUGUUCUAUCUCGAAGAACUGGGAAGACAGCUUUAGCUAAACUCGUGAUUAGUGGAAAUGAGUGAGGGUGUAACCGUCAUUGAACAAUUCGGCUAGCGUUACGAUUUAUGAAUGUGGUUCCGUCAACGACGUUAGAAGACUUUUGUUACACGUAAUUUGCAAUUAUUUGUUUUUUUUUUAAAGCAAAAAGCGCUAAAUACGAUUCAAGCCUGGAUUCCAUUUUCAAAUAAAUAAAUAUAUUUUACUUUGAGAAAAUUAGCUGUUAUACGACAUUUCACCGAAACAUUUUUGGUUCUACCACUUCAUAUACUCAUUUUUCUCUUGUACCACAAUUGCCGUUGGUAAAGACCAUUUUACCCUCCAACAUGAGAGACCAAAACCUGUAGUUGAUGUGCCCCUCUAACUUUUCUGUCUUCCUUUAUUUCUCUACAUUGGUAACUACAAUUUUCUCUUUCUUUAUUUGUUGUUACAUUUUUAUUUUAUUUAUUUAUUUCUUUCACUUUCACUUUAUCUCUCUCUUUGUCUAGUUCUUUCUCUCAUUUACGACAAAACUUUUUUUCAUAUAAACAUUCUCUACUGUUGUCCAUAUCUUGUCCCCGAUUGGGAAUUCUCUAUUGCGUUUAGAUCUUGUCCCCGAUUCAUCAUUUUGUUUUAUUAUCAUGAAUUCCACAUUUUGUCUACCAAUUGUUCUCGUUUAAGGGUUUUGAAUUUUAUUUAGAUUUCUCGGCAUCUAUUUUGGUCUGCAGAUUAGUCGAACAAUAUUGUCCUCACUUACCCGGAUUAUUGAACCUUUUUUUUUUCCACUGGAUGGUAAAACAAAGUUGUCCCCGAGUAAAUCCAGAUCUUCGUCUUCGGCUCUUUGGCGGAAUAAAAUAAAGAUCAAGUUGUCUCCGAGUAAAUUCAGAUCUCUGGCUGGUAAAACCACAUCAUCUGGCGAUGGACAAUCAAGAAAAGUUGUCCCCGAGUAAAUCCAGAUCUCUGGCUGGUAAAACCACAUCAUCUGGCGAUGGACAAUCAAGAGACCUGGACUUAUUCUUGGUGGACAUCAUUCACUCUAUUUCAUAAUUAUUGUCCAUGGUAAAUGUAAACUGCAUUUAAUGCAAUGUUUUGUCCUUCUUCUCUGACACAAAGUUGUCUUUCAGACAAAGUUGUCCUUCUCUGACACAAAGUUGUCCCCGUUUCCCAACCGGCGUCUACUGUAGCUCCUUCCCCUAACACAUACCUGACGCACAGAGAAGGGCAAAAUCGUCCAAGAAUUGCCACACAAACACCAAAUGUGGUAUGGAUGCUAAAUUCAUUUCAAAUGUGGUACAUUUGCUAAUAUUUUCCCAAAAUGUGGCACAUUUGGCAAAAUUCCCUUUUACUUUUCUUUUAAUUUCAACUUUUUAAUUGCUGAAAACCUAAUUUUUGUGUUUCAAACUAAUUCCAUUAUUAUAUAUAUAUAUAUAUAUAUAUAAUACUCCCUCCGUUUUGUUUUAGUUGUCGUUUAAGGUUUUUUUCACGCAAAUUAAGAAAAACAUUAAAUUUUCUGUUUUACCCUUUAUUAAUAUAUCUUAUAAAUUUUUUCAUUAGCUAAAACAUUAAAAUAAUAGGGAUAAUACUGGAAUUUUUACCAACCAUUUACAUUGAAAACCUAAAACGACAACUAUUACAAAACAAAAUUUAAGUCGUAAAACGACAACUAAAACGAAACAGAUGGAGUAUAAAUUUGCGCCAACCAACUACCGCAACAAGUUACAGAGACUAUCUAAGACUUGUCCAAAAUUUCACGUGUCGCUACUUUAUUUGCUGUUACCCAAAAAUAUCAGAGUAUCGGCACUAUUUACAGAGCACAAUUCCCUGGAAGAGAUAUUAAAACCUCACUGCCUAACAUUUCACUCUUAAUCUUUUCCACUGUCGCUUAUUCCCGGAGGAUUCGUUGCCGCCUCUCUUCUUCUCCGAUUUGCUUGUUCUCAUUUUUUCCAAAUUCCUAAAACUCUAAUUUCCAUACUACACUUGCUUCGUUCUUUCUUUAGAUUCGAUUCGAUAACUCUGUGCUGGAUUAAGGAGAAAAACCUCAUUAGUUUCUUAUAGACUCGGUGUUGAUGGUGGCGACUGGACCACUACUUGGUAUGGCCCGUGUUCUUUACUUGGUCGUGACGGAGCCAAUGAUUUAGACCGGAACUUGUCUGAUUAACAAUCACAUUUGUAAAUGUUGUCUGAUGGUGCCGCUGCCGCCAUGUAGGAAUCAGCCAAAUGUGGUCUUUUUAUUUGGUGCAUCUUACUAAACCUUCAUCUACAAGCUUCUUGGUUGUCUUAAUUUGUUAGAUUAUUAUAGUGUCGACAUCUUUUUAUCAUUAAGUUUCAAAGAAGAAGUUUUGAUCAGAGACGUAUUUUCGAAAUGGAUUCAUAUCUACUAGGUAAUGGAAUUUCGUAGGUGUUAUAAAGUCUGAUGUUUGUAUUUUAUUUUAACUAUAUCGUCCCCCUAAUAUACGGAACCUGGCUAUGUUUAACUCCUUUAAGAAUCUAUUGUCUAGUAGUAGUAUCAUUUAUGAGUUUGUGUGACCCUUGUUGAAUGAUUGUACUUUCGAUAGGUUUGUUUUUUUUUCUUUCUAAUACUAUCUUUAUCCAAGAGUUGGAAAAAAAUUACUUGCUUUUUAGAUGACUACGAAAGUAAUUUACUACAUAAAACGACAAAAACCUACGCAGUAACAUUUGUCUAGGGUUUUAUUACUGCCACACUCAAAAAGAGAAAUAAUGAAAUAAGAAAAUGAAAAAAAAAAGAAAAUGAAAAUCAAAAUUGGAAUCGCAAUCCAAAAUACUUUGUUACUACUAGCCUUCUGGGAACGCGAAAAGAAAGACAAAUUUCUUGCAAUUGAAGGUACCCUUCAUCUUAUGCUUAUCUCUUUGGUUUCUUCUUCCUCAAAUCAAAAAACCCAUUUAUCCAACUUGUCUUUUUGUUCUUCAGGUGAGAUUUGGGGAUAGGGAAAUUGAGGAAACCCUAGAACAAGUACGGUCUUUACUUUGCUAUAAUGGGUCGCGAAUCUCUGGCUGUUGUGACUGCGCCGCCCUCGGCGACUGCUCCGGGUACUGCUACUGCGGCUACCUCGCUUGCUCCUGGCUUCCGAUUUCAUCCGACUGAUGAGGAACUCGUGAGCUAUUACUUGAAGAGGAAGGUUCUGGGCAAACCUGUACGCUUCGAUGCGAUUGGAGAGGUCGAUAUCUAUAAGCAUGAGCCCUGGGAUUUAGCAGGUUCUUUGGGUUUCACUUCGCUCUUUCUUGGUUUCUGUGCAUCUCUUCAAUUUUGGGUUUUUCUGUGACUUUGUUGCUUCUGAUUUGGGAUUUUGUGGUCUGGGCUUCUUCGCUUCUUCUGACUCGAUUCUUGGGAAAAGUUUUUAACUUUAUAGGUUCCGAUUCAUUUUGGUGGGAAAUUUUGUUGCAGAUUCUCUGUUGUUACCUUCUGCUAUGUAUGUUUAGGCUAUAACACUGUGA